AACCUGACAAUACUGUCUAAAUCCCUGGACCUUUAACUCGUAGACCCGAAGGACUUGGCCAGGGAGUCCAGAAAUCCGCCCCCACCCCGCCUUUUUCAACGGACGCCAGUUUGAGCUGGUGAUUCCGUCGCUCCGAACAGCAAGAUUCCUGGUUACUAUGCGUUCCUUCCAAUGGCUGCGGAGGCAUCAUCAACUUCACAACUCUGCUGAGGACCCCGGCAGUGAGGAAAAAGAGGCCAGGUACAUCUGACUCAGCCAGUUCUGCAGAAACCAAUGGUUUCGACCAGACUCACCCCAGGAGGCGUGCGCUCAGUUACCUGGGAAUUACCUCUCUGCCAGAACAUCCUCCCAGAUGAAGGAAACUGAAGAUCAGACAGCUUAAGCGACUUGUUCAAAUACGAAGAGCUAACAUCUAGUCCACCGGCUUCUUCUCCUUUGACUCAUGAAUCCUUCCUAACCGUCUCAUUGAACAGUACGCCACAAAGAUCGUGCAACAUCCUUCAUCAUAUUAAGACAAGUUUUGACUUGUCCCCACUUAACAUGUGAUGGAAAGCUGGUGGAUUUACCUUAAAUUAUUUAUGAAACAGAGAACAAAAAACAUGAGUCGGUCUCAGGACAGAGUUUUACUAUAUGUUGCAAGGCAUAAAAAAAAAAGAAAAAGACAAAACAACCUCCCUUUAUGAGCUGAGGUUUAGAAUGCUAAAUUCUGUGCUGAUUUUUUUUAAACAUAUAAUUGUUGUUCUAAAUGACAAGAUGUAAGAAAAGGUUUCCGGCUGAUAUUUGCAAGCACAUCUCUCUGCAAAUAACACAUUGCAGGUGUGGAGAGUCAUUACUCCCAAUAUAUGCAAAGCAAAAUUGUGUAUAAUUGUUGCUAUACGUUCUGUUUUUUACUUUAGUUUUGAAGCGCUCCCUGUAAGACUUUUAUCGGAUGAAUGCCACUCUCAAAUCUGCGGAAGGUCAGCCUCGGGUGAAUUUGCUGAUUUAUUAUCGGAUUCUUGUUCCUCAUGAAUUGCUGCGUCUCAGUAUCCCUGCUCUGUAUGUAUGCCUGUUUUCAAAUAAUGGUCCAUCACAGGUGUACAUUAAAUAAUCUAUGAUGGGGGACGGGGGGUGUUGCAAAGAGCCAAUGUGUCCCAACAGCUUACCCUGGCUGUAAGGGUUAUCAGAUUCCCCGGUCUCCAGUCGGGUCUUGCCCAACCUCGCCAGAAGAUACUGCAACUUUGCACGGGCCCCAAGGUCUUCAAGCGCGAGAGCUGGCCUUGCCGGACAAACUCUUGCCAACGGCUGGACUUCAUUAGUCUGUUCAUUCCCCCCACACUGAUGCGUCUGCCUUCCGAAAACAGGAAAGGGCAAGGGAAUGGAUCUGUCCCCCAGAGCGUAAGCUCACAUGGCAAAUCUAGAACCAUCUGGCCCCGUACACUUCUCCACAGGUUGAGGAGAGGACAGGGGGACCCCGACUUCUCCUGCUGUUUCCUUCCACUGACAAAGACUCUGUCCUUACCUACGCCGUAGGACAGUGAGAUGGUCUCGAAUCCCGGUACCCGUGGUGACAGCUGGUGAUGCUGAAAGGGCCCCCCACCCCCACCCCGCCAACGUGAUGACAAAGCAUAAAAACAACUUAAAAGUGUAGAAUAGCCCUAAUGAGGGGCAGACAAAAAACAGUGGGCAGGAAGUGGUUCAUCAGGAGAAUUAAGGCCCUUGCCCCCAAUGACGUCUGUAGGUAAAGCUGAUUAUCUGCAAUGACUCAGGGGCAAAGCGUGGCUGAAAAGAGCAGGAACUAAAGCCUGUUGAGAGCCCGUGACUGAGCUGGGUUGAAAGGGUAAGAUAAAUAUGUUCUGAGAGCCACACGAGAAGGGGAAAAGGCCUGCAGAGGACACAAGCCACACAGGGGUGUUCUGUGGGGGUCUCUCUUACCUCUAGCUGCCUGGGUCCCGGAAGGGAAGUGAGUCACUUUCUGAUAACUCACAAUCAAUUGAGGUCCAUCAAGAUUUUUAAAAACUAUUUUGUAAUUUUUUUUUUUUUUUUUUUUGAGAGAGAGAGAGAGAAUGCAUGUGAGCAGGGGAAGGGCAGAGAGAGAGGGAGACACAGAAUCCGAAGCAGGCUCCAGGCUCUGAGCUGCCAGUACAGAGCCCGACGUGGGGCUCGAACCCACAAACCGCGAGAUCAUGACCUGAGCCGGAGUCUGACGCUUAACUGACUGAGCCACCCAGGCACCCCUAGGUCUGUCAAGGUUAA
Acinonyx jubatus (cheetah) is the source of this 2232-nucleotide long non-coding RNA. RefSeq lists it as uncharacterized. The transcript is spliced from 4 exons. The record is from RefSeq and is a predicted model, not a curated record. NCBI's taxonomy places the organism in Eukaryota, Metazoa, Chordata, Mammalia, Carnivora, Felidae.